RNAcentral lists this microRNA precursor (62 nucleotides) under Parasteatoda tepidariorum (common house spider). Its description in RNAcentral is "microRNA pte-mir-11952 precursor". The record is from miRBase by way of RNAcentral. Lineage: Eukaryota; Metazoa; Arthropoda; Arachnida; Araneae; Theridiidae.
GCAAUAUCGGGUUUGAACGCUGCUUGCUAGAUAAGUGUGUAACGUUAACACCGAUAUUGCCC